UAGGGAAUCUUCGGCAAUGGGGGGAACCCUGACCGAGCAACGCCGCGUGAGUGAAGAAGGUUUUCGGAUCGUAAAGCUCUGUUGUUAAGGAAGAACGAGUGUGAGAAUGGAAAGUUCAUGCUGUGACGGUACUUAACCAGAAAGGGACGGCUAACUACGUGCCAGCAGCCGCGGUAAUACGUAGGUCCCGAGCGUUGUCCGGAUUUAUUGGGCGUAAAGCGAGCGCAGGCGGUUAGAAAAGUCUGAAGUGAAAGGCAGUGGCUCAACCAUUGUAGGCUUUGGAAACUGUUUAACUUGAGUGCAGAAGGGGAGGGAGGAAUUCCAUGUGUAGCGGUGAAAUGCGUAGAUAUAAGGAGGAACACCGGUGGCGAAAGCGGCUCUCUGGUCUGUAACUGACGCUGAGGCUCGAAAGCGUGGGGAGCGAACAGG
RNAcentral lists this ribosomal RNA (429 nucleotides) under Bacteroidota bacterium. Its description in RNAcentral is "Bacteroidetes bacterium partial 16S ribosomal RNA". It matches the Rfam family "Bacterial small subunit ribosomal RNA", at positions 355 to 776 of the family's 1533-position model. The record is from RNAcentral. Lineage: Bacteria; Pseudomonadati; Bacteroidota.